RNAcentral lists this ribosomal RNA (497 nucleotides) under uncultured bacterium. RNAcentral's name for it is "partial 16S ribosomal RNA". It matches the Rfam family "Bacterial small subunit ribosomal RNA", at positions 28 to 507 of the family's 1533-position model. The record is from RNAcentral.
GAUGAACGCUGGCGGCGUGCCUAAUACAUGCAAGUCGAGCGAACAGACGAGGAGCUUGCUCCUCUGACGUUAGCGGCGGACGGGUGAGUAACACGUGGAUAACCUACCUAUAAGACUGGGAUAACUUCGGGAAACCGGUGCUAAUACCGGAUAAUAUGUUUAACCGUAAGGUUCAACAGUGAAAGAUGCUAUUGCUUUAAUUUAUAGAGAGAUCCCCUCGGCAUAAGUUAGUGGGUAAGGUAACGGCUUACCAAGGCAAGGAUCCGUGGCCAACCUGAGAGGGUGAUCGGCCAAACUGGAACUGGAACCCGGCCCAAACUCCAACGGGAGGCAGCAGUAGGGAAUCUUCGGCAAUGGGCAAAAUCCUGACGGGGCAACGCCGCGUGAGUGAGGAAGGUCUUCGGAUCGUAAACCUCUGUUAUUAGGGAAGAACAAAUGUGUAAGUAACUAUGCACGUCUUGACGGUACCUAAUCAGAAAGCCACGGCUAACUACGUG